ACUCAAAGGAAUUGACGGGGGCCCGCACAAGCGGUGGAGCAUGUGGAUUAAUACGUCACUAACCGUAGAACCUUACCCAGGCUUGACAUCUGCGGAAGACCCUUGAAAGGGGGUUGUGCCUCGCAAGAGGAGCCGCAAGACAGGUGUUGCAUGGCUGUCGUCAGCUCGUGUCGUGAGAUGUUGGGUUAAGUCCCGCAACGAGCGCAACCCUCACCGUAUGUUGCCAGCGUAAAGCCGGGCACUCUUACGGAACUGCCCGGGUAACCGGGAGGAAGGUGAGGAUGACGUCAAGUCAGCAUGGCCCUUACGCCUGGGGCUUCACACAUGCUACAAUGGCUGGUACAAAGGGUUCCAAGACCGCGAGGUGGAGGCAAUCCCAAAAAGCCAGUCUCAGUUCGGAUCGCAGGCUGCAACUCGCCUGCGUGAAGCUGGAAUCGCUAGUAAUGGCCGGUCAGCUAAACGGCCGUGAAUACGUUCCCGGGCCUUGUACACACCGCCCGU
This 501-nucleotide ribosomal RNA is filed under the name uncultured bacterium. RNAcentral describes it as "partial 16S ribosomal RNA". It matches the Rfam family "Bacterial small subunit ribosomal RNA", at positions 899 to 1397 of the family's 1533-position model. The record is from RNAcentral.